UACGUAGGGGGCGAGCGUUGUCCGGAUUUAUUGGGCGUAAAGAGCUCGUAGGCGGUUUGGCAAGUCGGGUGUGAAACCUCCAGGCUCAACCUGGAGUCGCCACCCGAUACUGCUAUGACUUGAGUCUGGUAGGGGAUCACGGAAUUCCUGGUGUAGCGGUGAAAUGCACAGAUAUCAGGAGGAACACCGGUGGCGAAGGCGGUGAUCUGGGCCAGUACUGACGCUCAAGAGCGAAAGCGUGGGGAGCAAACAGG
RNAcentral lists this ribosomal RNA (254 nucleotides) under uncultured bacterium. RNAcentral's name for it is "partial 16S ribosomal RNA". It matches the Rfam family "Bacterial small subunit ribosomal RNA", at positions 524 to 776 of the family's 1533-position model. The record is from RNAcentral.